AGUGUGAUGGCCGAGUGGUCUAAGGCGUUGGAAUUAGGCUCCAAUUUACGUAAGUAAGCGCAGGUUCGAAUCCUGUUCACACUA
This is a transfer RNA of Hepatospora eriocheir, 84 nucleotides long. It matches the Rfam family "tRNA". Rfam says of the family: Transfer RNA (tRNA) molecules are approximately 80 nucleotides in length. Their secondary structure includes four short double-helical elements and three loops (D, anti-codon, and T loops). NCBI's taxonomy places the organism in Eukaryota, Fungi, Microsporidia, Hepatosporidae. The record is from Rfam.